RNAcentral lists this ribosomal RNA (381 nucleotides) under Cryptosporidium sp. NAY-2012. RNAcentral describes it as "SSU rRNA". It matches the Rfam family "Eukaryotic small subunit ribosomal RNA", at positions 667 to 1053 of the family's 1831-position model. The record is from RNAcentral. Lineage: Eukaryota; Apicomplexa; Conoidasida; Eucoccidiorida; Cryptosporidiidae.
UUAAUAAUUUAUAUAAAAUAUUUUGAUGAAUAUUUAUAUAAUAUUAACAUAAUUCAUAUUACUAUAUAUUUUAGUAUAUGAAAUUUUACUUUGAGAAAAUUAGAGUGCUUAAAGCAGGCAUAUGCCUUGAAUACUCCAGCAUGGAAUAAUAUUAAAGAUUUUUAUCUUUCUUAUUGGUUCUAAGAUAAGAAUAAUGAUUAAUAGGGACAGUUGGGGGCAUUUGUAUUUAACAGUCAGAGGUGAAAUUCUUAGAUUUGUUAAAGACAAACUAAUGCGAAAGCAUUUGCCAAGGAUGUUUUCAUUAAUCAAGAACGAAAGUUAGGGGAUCGAGACGAUCAGAUACCGUCGUAGUCUUAACCAUAAACUAUGCCAACUAGAGAU